AGCUCCAAUAAAGUAUAUUAAACCUGUUGCGGUUAAAAAGUUCGUAGUUGGAUUUCUGCCGAGGACGACCGGUCCGCCCUCUGGGUGAGUAUCUGGCUUGGCCUGGGCAUCUUCUUGGAGAACGUAGCUGCACUUGAUUGUGUGGUGCGGUAUCCGGGACUGCUACUUUGAGGAAAUUAGACUGUUUCAAGCAGGCAUGCGCCUUGAAUACAUUAGCAUGGAAUAAUGAGAUAGGACCUCGGUUCUAUGUUGUUGGUUUCUAGAGCUGAGGUAAUGAUUAAUAGGGAUAGUUGGGGGCAUUCGUAUUUAACUGUCAGAACUGAAGUUCUUGGAUUUGUGAAAGACGGAUUACUGCGAAAGCAUUUGCCAAGGAUGUUUUCA
RNAcentral lists this ribosomal RNA (381 nucleotides) under uncultured eukaryote. RNAcentral's name for it is "SSU rRNA". It matches the Rfam family "Eukaryotic small subunit ribosomal RNA", at positions 587 to 972 of the family's 1831-position model. The record is from RNAcentral.